This 2568-nucleotide long non-coding RNA is filed under the name Ananas comosus (pineapple). RNAcentral describes it as "long non-coding RNA (ACOM_LNC017069)". The record is from RNAcentral. Lineage: Eukaryota; Viridiplantae; Streptophyta; Magnoliopsida; Poales; Bromeliaceae.
CGUGCGAGGCACUGCCCUAAGGCGUAUUCCCGUCCUUACGUGCGGGAUUAAUCGGAAAUAACACCCCAAGGUACGACCGGAAUUCCUCCUCCUGCGAGCACGAUCGUGAAGGAGGUUGACGAAGAUUCUCAACACCCAGUAGAUAAGAAGAAUAUUCAAAUAGUAAAAGAUAAGAGAUGAAUAGAUAAAGAUUAAUAAAAUUAUCUAAAUCUCAUUCUCUACUACUCUGUCAGUAACAGAGGAGAAGAAAGGAAGGGAAUUUAACGCUCUUUCUCGUUACGAGAAAAAGACGUAUUCCACGCAACGGAAGGGAAUUCCGUUUGGCGUAAGAAACGGAACGGAAAAAUAUUCCGUUAGUUUCUUACGCAUUAAGAAAGAGAAUAAAAAUAAAUAAAUAAAUAAAAUUAAAUAAGUAAAUAAUAAAAUAAUAAAUAAUGAUAAAUAAUAAAUAAAUAAUUUAAAANUCUAAUAAAUUUAUGUCUCAAAAUAAUUUACCUGCCAAUCUUAGAAUUUGCAAAAUUCGUUUCCAAGAUGAACACUAGGAUAAAAUCACGAGAGUAAUUAUAAUAUCAAAAUUUAUUAAACUGGUAAAAGAGUAACCCCCACAAGUUUUGAAAUAUAUCAGAAUUUAAAAAAAUAUGGCCUUAAUCAUGUCUAAUAGAAUUUGGGUCAACAACAAAUAGAUGGCACAAACAAAAUAAAAUGAUAUACUUUAACCAAUGUAUAAAAUACUUAGAUGUAACAAAUGUAGUGACAACUAAGAGAUAGUAUUAUAGGUUAGGUGAUGCUGGUACGAACGCAUCCGUACACAUAAACUAAAUUUAGUGUAGCAAACUCUCCUUAAUUUACUGUGGCAAAUUCUCCUUUUUUUUUUUACCAAAGAAUUUUUACUGUAGCAAAACUUUUAAGCCGUACAAUAUAAAAAAUAAUUUUACAGUUUUACUGUAGCAAAACUUUUAAGCCGUACACUAUAAAAAAUAAUUUUACAGUAGCUCUUUUUUUUUUCCUUUUUUUUUUCUUUUAUUUUUUUUUUUUUAAACAGCAGUAUAGUGCAAUAAAAAAAAUUAUAAAUAAGAUGAUUUGCAAUUUAAAUUAUAAACAUAUGCAAUUUACAAUUUAAAUGCUAAUCUCAAAAUAUUUAACUUUGAAUGACCAAUAUAUGUCAAGCAAAAAAAUUUUUCAAAAUUUUUUUUACUGUAGCAAAACUCAAAACAGUAUACAGAAAACUGUAACAAAAACUCUUUUCCUUUUUUUUUUUUCAAAAAAUAGUAUAUAUAUAUAAAUUAAACUUUAAGAAAAUCCUUACACUUAAAAUAUCUUUCACUGUCGCAACUUGUUUAACUUUUUAAAUGUAUGUACUGUAGCAAUUUUUUUUAAAAAAAAAACAACCCGUACAAUGUCUGUAUAGAAAACAAAAUAAUUCCACAAUUUUUUUUUAUCAAGACAGUAAAAUAUAUAUCUGUAUAUAUAUAUAUUUUUUCUCACAAAUAGUAUAUUUAUAUAAAUAAAUUAAACUUAAAACUUAAAAAACCGCACACUUAAAAAAUAAUUACAGUAGCAAACAUUUUUAAUCCGUACAAGUGGUUUUUUUUUUUUAUAACAAAACAGUAAAACUUUUUUUUUUUAAAGGGUUUUACAAUAGCAAAACUCAAACAGUACAUAAAUAGAAUUUUAUUUACUGUAGCAAAAAAAAAUCCACCCUUUUGGAUCCGUAGGUAAAAAAAAAAUUAAUAAUAAUAAAAAAAAGAUAAUAAUUUGCAGAUAAACAAUAUCCGAUUAGAAUUUCAAAAUGCUAAUCCAACUUAUUUAAAUUUGAAUGACAAACAUACAAGCAAGUUGUCAAACAGAAUUAUACGCAAAAUAUAUAUGUAUAUAUUUUAAUAGAUUAGUACCGUCAGAUUUAAUCACAAUCAGAUAGGGAUCUACGCCUUAGAUUGUUAGAACAAAUACCGCAAAGAAAAUCUGAUUGUGAUUAAUAUCUAACUAAUUUUGUAAUAAGAAUAAAAUCAAACUUACAGAUAAACGCAAAUAUCCAAAUAAUGAUUUGAUCUUAUCCGGAAGCGUGCGAGGCACUGCCCUAAGGCGUAUUCCCGUCCUUACGUGCGGGAUUAAUCGGAAAUAACACCCCAAGGUACGACCGGAAUUCCUCCUCCUGCGAGCACGAUCGUGAAGGAGGUUGACGAAGAUUCUCAACACCCAGUAGAUAAGAAGAAUAUUCAAAUAGUAAAAGAUAAGAGAUGAAUAGAUAAAGAUUAAUAAAAUUAUCUAAAUCUCAUUCUCUACUACUCUGUCAGUAACAGAGGAGAAGAAAGGAAGGGAAUUUAACGCUCUUUCUCGUUACGAGAAAAAGACGUAUUCCACGCAACGGAAGGGAAUUCCGUUUGGCGUAAGAAACGGAACGGAAAAAUAUUCCGUUAGUUUCUUACGCAUUAAGAAAGAGAAUAAAAAUAAAUAAAUAAAUAAAAUUAAAUAAGUAAAUAAUAAAAUAAUAAAUAAUGAUAAAUAAUAAAUAAAUAAUUUAAAAUUCAAAUAGAAUAAAAUUCAAAUUUUAAAAUUUUGAGUUUUUUU